RNAcentral lists this ribosomal RNA (2923 nucleotides) under Staphylococcus aureus. Its description in RNAcentral is "23S ribosomal RNA". It matches the Rfam family "Bacterial large subunit ribosomal RNA". The record is from RNAcentral. Lineage: Bacteria; Bacillati; Bacillota; Bacilli; Caryophanales; Staphylococcaceae.
GAUUAAGUUAUUAAGGGCGCACGGUGGAUGCCUUGGCACUAGAAGCCAAUGAAGGACGUUACUAACGACGAUAUGCUUUGGGGAGCUGUAAGUAAGCUUUGAUCCAGAGAUUUCCGAAUGGGGAAACCCAGCAUGAGUUAUGUCAUGUUAUCGAUAUGUGAAUACAUAGCAUAUCAGAAGGCACACCCGGAGAACUGAAACAUCUUAGUACCCGGAGGAAGAGAAAGAAAAUUCGAUUCCCUUAGUAGCGGCGAGCGAAACGGGAAGAGCCCAAACCAACAAGCUUGCUUGUUGGGGUUGUAGGACACUCUAUACGGAGUUACAAAGGACGACAUUAGACGAAUCAUCUGGAAAGAUGAAUCAAAGAAGGUAAUAAUCCUGUAGUCGAAAAUGUUGUCUCUCUUGAGUGGAUCCUGAGUACGACGGAGCACGUGAAAUUCCGUCGGAAUCUGGGAGGACCAUCUCCUAAGGCUAAAUACUCUCUAGUGACCGAUAGUGAACCAGUACCGUGAGGGAAAGGUGAAAAGCACCCCGGAAGGGGAGUGAAAUAGAACCUGAAACCGUGUGCUUACAAGUAGUCAGAGCCCGUUAAUGGGUGAUGGCGUGCCUUUUGUAGAAUGAACCGGCGAUUUACGAUUUGAUGCAAGGUUAAGCAGUAAAUGUGGAGCCGUAGCGAAAGCGAGUCUGAAUAGGGCGUUUAGUAUUUGGUCGUAGACCCGAAACCAGGUGAUCUACCCUUGGUCAGGUUGAAGUUCAGGUAACACUGAAUGGAGGACCGAACCGACUUACGUUGAAAAGUGAGCGGAUGAACUGAGGGUAGCGGAGAAAUUCCAAUCGAACCUGGAGAUAGCUGGUUCUCUCCGAAAUAGCUUUAGGGCUAGCCUCAAGUGAUGAUUAUUGGAGGUAGAGCACUGUUUGGACGAGGGGCCCCUCUCGGGUUACCGAAUUCAGACAAACUCCGAAUGCCAAUUAAUUUAACUUGGGAGUCAGAACAUGGGUGAUAAGGUCCGUGUUCGAAAGGGAAACAGCCCAGACCACCAGCUAAGGUCCCAAAAUAUAUGUUAAGUGGAAAAGGAUGUGGCGUUGCCCAGACAACUAGGAUGUUGGCUUAGAAGCAGCCAUCAUUUAAAGAGUGCGUAAUAGCUCACUAGUCGAGUGACACUGCGCCGAAAAUGUACCGGGGCUAAACAUAUUACCGAAGCUGUGGAUUGUCCUUUGGACAAUGGUAGGAGAGCGUUCUAAGGGCGUUGAAGCAUGAUCGUAAGGACAUGUGGAGCGCUUAGAAGUGAGAAUGCCGGUGUGAGUAGCGAAAGACGGGUGAGAAUCCCGUCCACCGAUUGACUAAGGUUUCCAGAGGAAGGCUCGUCCGCUCUGGGUUAGUCGGGUCCUAAGCUGAGGCCGACAGGCGUAGGCGAUGGAUAACAGGUUGAUAUUCCUGUACCACCUAUAAUCGUUUUAAUCGAUGGGGGGACGCAGUAGGAUAGGCGAAGCGUGCGAUUGGAUUGCACGUCUAAGCAGUAAGGCUGAGUAUUAGGCAAAUCCGGUACUCGUUAAGGCUGAGCUGUGAUGGGGAGAAGACAUUGUGUCUUCGAGUCGUUGAUUUCACACUGCCGAGAAAAGCCUCUAGAUAGAAAAUAGGUGCCCGUACCGCAAACCGACACAGGUAGUCAAGAUGAGAAUUCUAAGGUGAGCGAGCGAACUCUCGUUAAGGAACUCGGCAAAAUGACCCCGUAACUUCGGGAGAAGGGGUGCUCUUUAGGGUUAACGCCCAGAAGAGCCGCAGUGAAUAGGCCCAAGCGACUGUUUAUCAAAAACACAGGUCUCUGCUAAACCGUAAGGUGAUGUAUAGGGGCUGACGCCUGCCCGGUGCUGGAAGGUUAAGAGGAGUGGUUAGCUUCUGCGAAGCUACGAAUCGAAGCCCCAGUAAACGGCGGCCGUAACUAUAACGGUCCUAAGGUAGCGAAAUUCCUUGUCGGGUAAGUUCCGACCCGCACGAAAGGCGUAACGAUUUGGGCACUGUCUCAACGAGAGACUCGGUGAAAUCAUAGUACCUGUGAAGAUGCAGGUUACCCGCGACAGGACGGAAAGACCCCGUGGAGCUUUACUGUAGCCUGAUAUUGAAAUUCGGCACAGCUUGUACAGGAUAGGUAGGAGCCUUUGAAACGUGAGCGCUAGCUUACGUGGAGGCGCUGGUGGGAUACUACCCUAGCUGUGUUGGCUUUCUAACCCGCACCACUUAUCGUGGUGGGAGACAGUGUCAGGCGGGCAGUUUGACUGGGGCGGUCGCCUCCUAAAAGGUAACGGAGGCGCUCAAAGGUUCCCUCAGAAUGGUUGGAAAUCAUUCAUAGAGUGUAAAGGCAUAAGGGAGCUUGACUGCGAGACCUACAAGUCGAGCAGGGUCGAAAGACGGACUUAGUGAUCCGGUGGUUCCGCAUGGAAGGGCCAUCGCUCAACGGAUAAAAGCUACCCCGGGGAUAACAGGCUUAUCUCCCCCAAGAGUUCACAUCGACGGGGAGGUUUGGCACCUCGAUGUCGGCUCAUCGCAUCCUGGGGCUGUAGUCGGUCCCAAGGGUUGGGCUGUUCGCCCAUUAAAGCGGUACGCGAGCUGGGUUCAGAACGUCGUGAGACAGUUCGGUCCCUAUCCGUCGUGGGCGUAGGAAAUUUGAGAGGAGCUGUCCUUAGUACGAGAGGACCGGGAUGGACAUACCUCUGGUGUACCAGUUGUCGUGCCAACGGCAUAGCUGGGUAGCUAUGUGUGGACGGGAUAAGUGCUGAAAGCAUCUAAGCAUGAAGCCCCCCUCAAGAUGAGAUUUCCCAACUUCGGUUAUAAGAUCCCUCAAAGAUGAUGAGGUUAAUAGGUUCGAGGUGGAAGCAUGGUGACAUGUGGAGCUGACGAAUACUAAUCGAUCGAAGACUUAAUCAA